This 30-nucleotide non-coding RNA is filed under the name Rattus norvegicus (Norway rat). The record is from RNAcentral. Lineage: Eukaryota; Metazoa; Chordata; Mammalia; Rodentia; Muridae.
UAAAGAAUCAGGAAGGGAUUCUUCCUUGCC